AAGUCGUAACAAGGUAUCCGUAGGUGAACCUGCGGAUGGAUCAUUAACAAAGCAGUUAAAAGCUUUGAACCACUGUGGUUGAAAGAAGUAAAGAAGAGAGAGGGGUGCGGGGGAGACGGCGGCGUCAUUGGCCGACGAGCCCGCGCACCCGUCUAUCUAUUAUUAACCCUAGUCAUUGAAUACUCAUUUCAUGUCUAUUACAUUGAUAAUAUCUAAUACAACUGCUAGCAACGGAUCACUCGGCUCUC
RNAcentral lists this unclassified non-coding RNA (248 nucleotides) under fungal sp. RNAcentral describes it as "partial internal transcribed spacer region". The stretch from base 1 to 46 matches the Rfam family "Eukaryotic small subunit ribosomal RNA", at positions 1786 to 1831 of the family's 1831-position model. Lineage: Eukaryota; Fungi. The record is from RNAcentral.